CCCUUAGAUGUUCUGGGCCGCACGCGCGCUACACUGCUUGAUUCAGCGAGUCUUAACCUUGACCGAAAGGUUUGGGUAAUCUUCUAAAGUCAAACGUGAUGGGGAUCGAUCAUUGCAAUUAUUGAUCGUGAACGAGGAAUUCCUAGUAAAUGCAAGUCAUCAGCUUGCGUUGAUUACGUCCCUGCCCUUUGUACACACCGCCCGUCGCUACUACCGAUUGAAUGGUUUAGUGAGAUCUCCGGAUUGGCUCUGUAGGUCCCGCAAGGGAUUUAUUAGUAGCCAAGAAGCUGCUCAAACUUGAUCAUUUAGAGGAAGUAAAAGUCGUAACA
This 329-nucleotide ribosomal RNA is filed under the name uncultured eukaryote. RNAcentral describes it as "partial 18S ribosomal RNA". It matches the Rfam family "Eukaryotic small subunit ribosomal RNA", at positions 1470 to 1796 of the family's 1831-position model. The record is from RNAcentral.